UACGAGGGGUCCUAGCGUUGUUCGGAAUCAUUGGGCGUAAAGCGUGUGUAGGCGGCCAUGCAAGUCAGUUGUGAAAGCCCCGGGCUCAACCCGGGAAGUGCUUCUGAUACUGCAUGGCUUGAGUACUGGAGAGGGUAGUGGAAUUCCUGGUGUAGUGGUGAAAUACGUAGAUAUCAGGAGGAACACCGGUGGCGAAGGCGGCUACCUGGCCAUGUACUGACGCUGAGACACGAAAGCGUGGGGAGCAAACAGG
This 253-nucleotide ribosomal RNA is filed under the name uncultured bacterium. Its description in RNAcentral is "partial 16S ribosomal RNA". It matches the Rfam family "Bacterial small subunit ribosomal RNA", at positions 524 to 776 of the family's 1533-position model. The record is from RNAcentral.